Molecule: ribosomal RNA, 238 nt
Filed under: uncultured bacterium
Lineage: Bacteria
Description: partial 16S ribosomal RNA
Rfam family: Bacterial small subunit ribosomal RNA
Source: RNAcentral
CGGAACGGGUGGGUAACGCGUGAGGAACCUGCCUCCAAGAGGGGACGAACAGUUGGAAACGACUGCUAAUACCGCAUAAGCCCACAGGUCGGCAUCGACCAGAGGGAAAAAGAGCAAUCCGCUUUGAGAUGGCCUCGCGUCCGAUUAGCUAGUUGGUGAGGUAAUAGCCCACCAAGGCGACGAUCGGUAGCCGGACUGAGAGGUUGAACGGCCACAUUGGGACUGAGACACGGCCCAG